ACGGGUGAGUAACACGUGGGUGAUCUGCCCUGCACUUUGGGAUAAGCCUGGGAAACUGGGUCUAAUACCGAAUAUUCCUUGCUGGUCGCAUGGCCUGGUGGGGGAAAGCUUUUGCGGUGUGGGAUGGGCCCGCGGCCUAUCAGCUUGUUGGUGGGGUGAUGGCCUACCAAGGCGACGACGGGUAGCCGGCCUGAGAGGGUGUCCGGCCACACUGGGACUGAGAUACGGCCCAGACUCCUACGGGAGGCAGCAGUGGGGAAUAUUGCACAAUGGGCGCAAGCCUGAUGCAGCGACGCCGCGUGAGGGAUGACGGCCUUCGGGUUGUAAACCUCUUUCAGUACAGACGAAGCGUAAGUGACGGUAUGUACAGAAGAAGCACCGGCCAACUACGUGCCAGCAGCCGCGGUAAUACGUAGGGUGCGAGCGUUGUCCGGAAUUACUGGGCGUAAAGAGCUCGUAGGUGGUUUGUCGCGUUGUUCGUGAAAACCGGGGGCUUAACCCUCGGCGUGCGGGCGAUACGGGCAGACUUGAGUACUGCAGGGGAGACUGGAAUUCCUGGUGUAGCGGUGGAAUGCGCAGA
RNAcentral lists this ribosomal RNA (580 nucleotides) under uncultured bacterium. RNAcentral's name for it is "bacterial SSU rRNA". It matches the Rfam family "Bacterial small subunit ribosomal RNA", at positions 102 to 694 of the family's 1533-position model. The record is from RNAcentral.